Molecule: ribosomal RNA, 304 nt
Filed under: uncultured bacterium
Lineage: Bacteria
Description: bacterial SSU rRNA
Rfam family: Bacterial small subunit ribosomal RNA
Source: RNAcentral
AACGAACGCUGGCGGCAUGCCUAACACAUGCAAGUCGAACGCCCUCUUCGGAGGGAGUGGCGCACGGGUGCGUAACGCGUGGGAACCUGCCCUUAGGUUCGGAAUAACUCAGAGAAAUUUGAGCUAAUACCGGAUAAUGUCUUCGGACCAAAGAUUUAUCGCCUUUGGAUGGGCCCGCGUUGGAUUAGCUAGUUGGUGGGGUAAAGCCUACCAAGGCGACGAUCCAUAGCUGGUCUGAGAGAUGAUCAGCCACACUGGGACUGAGACACGGCCCAGACCUCCUACGGGAGGCAGCAGUGGGGAA